This 459-nucleotide ribosomal RNA is filed under the name uncultured bacterium. Its description in RNAcentral is "partial 16S ribosomal RNA". It matches the Rfam family "Bacterial small subunit ribosomal RNA", at positions 339 to 795 of the family's 1533-position model. The record is from RNAcentral.
CUACGGGCCGCUCCAGUGAGGAAUAUUGGUCAAUGGGCGCGAGCCUGAACCAGCCAUCCCGCGUGCAGGAUGACGGCCCUAUGGGUUGUAAACUGCUUUUCUAUGCCAAGAAACCUGAUUACGUGUAAUCAGUUGCCGGUAGCAUAGGAAUAAGCAUCGGCUAACUCCGUGCCAGCAGCCGCGGUAAUACGGAGGAUGCAAGCGUUAUCCGGAUUCAUUGGGUUUAAAGGGUGCGCAGGUGGGCUUGUAAGUCAGUGGUGAAAUGCUGCCGCUUAACGGUAGAACUGCCAUUGAUACUGCGAGUCUUGAGUAUGGUUGAGGUAGGCGGAAUGUGUUGUGUAGCGGUGAGAUGCAUAGAUAUGACACAGAACGCCAAUUGCGAAGGCAGCUUACUAAGCCAUUACUGACGCUGAGGCACGAAAGCGUGGGGAGCGAACAGGAUUAGAUACCCUCGUAGUC